This 507-nucleotide ribosomal RNA is filed under the name uncultured microorganism. RNAcentral's name for it is "bacterial SSU rRNA". It matches the Rfam family "Bacterial small subunit ribosomal RNA", at positions 9 to 509 of the family's 1533-position model. The record is from RNAcentral.
GAGUUUGAUCCUGGCUCAGAUUGAACGCUGGCGGCAGGCCUAACACAUGCAAGUCGAGCGGUAGAGAGAAGCUUGCUUCUCUUGAGAGCGGCGGACGGGUGAGUAAUGCCUAGGAAUCUGCCUGGGUAGUGGGGGAUAACGUUCGGAAACGGACGCUAAUACCGCAUACGUCCUACGGGAGAAAGCAGGGGACCUUCGGGCCUUGCGCUAUCAGAUGAGCCUAGGUCGGAUUAGCUAGUUGGUGAGGUAAUGGCUCACCAAGGCGACGAUCCGUAACUGGUCUGAGAGGAUGAUCAGUCACACUGGAACUGAGACACGGUCCAGACUCCUACGGGAGGCAGCAGUGGGGAAUAUUGGACGAAUGGGCGAAAGCCUGAUCCAGCCAUGCCGCGUGUGUGAAGAAGGUCUUCGGAUUGUAGAGCACUUUAAGUUGGGAGGAAGAGUUGUAGAUUAAUACUCUGCAAUUUUGACGUUACCGACAGAAUAAGCACCGGCUAACUCUGUGCC